This 695-nucleotide ribosomal RNA is filed under the name Clostridium botulinum C. RNAcentral's name for it is "partial 23S ribosomal RNA". It matches the Rfam family "Bacterial large subunit ribosomal RNA", at positions 326 to 1018 of the family's 2925-position model. Lineage: Bacteria; Bacillati; Bacillota; Clostridia; Eubacteriales; Clostridiaceae. The record is from RNAcentral.
UCUUUAGUUGAAGAGAACUGGAAAGUUCCGUCGUAGAAGGUAAUAACCCUGUAGGCGAAAAGGAAAGAAAAGUAGAUCUACUCCAGAGUACCACGAGACCCGUGAAACCUUGUGGGAAGCUGGGAGGACCAUCUCCCAAGGCUAAAUACUACCUAGUGACCGAUAGUGAAGCAGUACCGUGAGGGAAAGGUGAAAAGAACCCCGGAAGGGGAGUGAAAUAGAAUCUGAAACCGUGUGCCUACAAUCGGUCGGAGCACAUUAAAGUGUGACGGCGUACUUUUUGUAGAACGGGCCAGCGAGUUACGAUAUAUAGCAAGGUUAAGCACUUAUGGUGUGGAGCCGAAGGGAAACCGAGUCUGAAUAGGGCAACUAGUUGUAUAUUGUAGACCCGAAACCGGGUGACCUAUCCAUGGCCAGGAUGAAGCGGAAGUAAAAUUCCGUGGAGGUCCGAACCACGUUGGUGUUGAAAAACCAUGGGAUGAGCUGUGGAUAGCGGAGAAAUUCCAAUCGAACUCGGAGAUAGCUGGUUCUCCUCGAAAUAGCUUUAGGGCUAGCGUCGGGUAAUUGAGUAGUGGAGGUAGAGCACUGAAUGGGCUAGGGGCUGACAACAGUUACUGAACCCUAUCAAACUCCGAAUGCCAUAUACUUGUACCCCGGCAGUCAGACUACGAAUGAUAAGAUCCGUGGUCAAAAGG